UACGUAGGGGCUAGCGUUGUCCGGAAUCAUUGGCGUAAAGCGCGUGUAGGCGGUCCGGUAAGUCCGCUGUGAAGACCCGGGGCUCAACUCCGGAAUUGCCUUUAAGGACUGCAUCGCUAGAAUUGUGGAGAGGUAAGUGGAAUUCCGAGUGUAGAGGUGGAAAUUCGAUAGAUAUUCGGAAGAACACCAGUGGCGAAGGCGAACUUGACUGGACACAGUAU
RNAcentral lists this ribosomal RNA (221 nucleotides) under uncultured bacterium. Its description in RNAcentral is "partial 16S ribosomal RNA". It matches the Rfam family "Bacterial small subunit ribosomal RNA", at positions 524 to 740 of the family's 1533-position model. The record is from RNAcentral.